AAGUUUUCGUCCUGCCUUUGUAGAGUCGAGUUGUUUGGGAAUGCACUUUUACGUCCCUGCCCUUUGUAUAGUGGAGUUUUUGGGAAUUGGAGGAUGUCAAAGUCGCCAUUUGUUUCCGUAGGUGAACCUGCGGAAGGAUCAUUAAUUAUGUUAAAGCGCCUUACCUUAGGGUUUCCUCUGGGGUAAGUGAUUGCUUCUACACUGUGAAAAUUUGGCUGAGAGACUCAGACUGGUCAUGGGUAGACCUAUCUGGGGUUUGAUCGAUGCCACUCCUGGUUUCAGGAGUACCCUUCAUAAUAAACCUAGAAAUUCAGUAUUAUAAAGUUUAAUAAAAAACAACUUUUAACAAUGGAUCUCUUGGUUCUCGCAUCGAUGAAGAACGUAGCAAAGUGCGAUAACUAGUGUGAAUUGCAUAUUCAGUGAAUCAUCGAGUCUUUGAACGCAGCUUGCACUCUAUGGUUUUUCUAUAGAGUACGCCUGCUUCAGUAUCAUCACAAACCCACACAUAACAUUUGUUUAUGUGGUGAUGGGUCGCAUCGCUGUUUUAUUACAGUGAGCACCUAAAAUGUGUGUGAUUUUCUGUCUGGCUUGCUAGGCAGGAAUAUUACGCUGGUCUCAGGAUCUUUUUUUUUGGUUCGCCCAGGAAGUAAAGUACAAGAGUAUAAUCCAGUAACUUUCAAACUAUGAUCUGAAGUCAGGUGGGAUUACCCGCUGAACUUAAGCAUAUCAAUAAGCGGAGGAAAAGAAAAUAACAAUGAUUUCCCUAGUAACGGCGAGUGAAGAGGAAAGAGCUUUAAGGUGGAACCCCUUUGGCCAAGCUAAUCCUUUGGGAAUGCACUUUUAGUCCCUCCCCUUUGUAGAGUCGAGUUGUGUGGGAAUGCACUUUUACGUCCCUGCCCUUUGUAGAGUCGAG
This 913-nucleotide ribosomal RNA is filed under the name Rhizopus arrhizus. RNAcentral describes it as "eukaryotic LSU rRNA". The stretch from base 338 to 491 matches the Rfam family "5.8S ribosomal RNA". Lineage: Eukaryota; Fungi; Mucoromycota; Mucoromycetes; Mucorales; Rhizopodaceae. The record is from RNAcentral.